This 700-nucleotide ribosomal RNA is filed under the name uncultured bacterium. RNAcentral describes it as "bacterial SSU rRNA". It matches the Rfam family "Bacterial small subunit ribosomal RNA", at positions 59 to 729 of the family's 1533-position model. The record is from RNAcentral.
CAGUCGAACGAAGAGCGAUGGAAGCUUGCUUCUAUCAAUCUUAGUGGCGAACGGGUGAGUAACGCGUAAUCAACCUGCCCUUCAGAGGGGGACAACAGUUGGAAACGACUGCUAAUACCGCAUACGAUCUGACCUCGGCAUCGAGGAUAGAUGAAAGGUGGCCUCUACAUGUAAGCUAUCACUGAAGGAGGGGAUUGCGUCUGAUUAGCUAGUUGGAGGGGUAACGGCCCACCAAGGCGAUGAUCAGUAGCCGGUCUGAGAGGAUGAUCGGCCACACUGGGACUGAGACACGGCCCAGACUCCUACGGGAGGCAGCAGUAGGGAAUCUUCGGCAAUGGACGAAAGUCUGACCGAGCAACGCCGCGUGAGUGAAGAAGGUUUUCGGAUCGUAAAACUCUGUUGUUAGAGAAGAACAAGGACGUUAGUAACUGAACGUCCCCUGACGGUAUCUAACCAGAAAGCCACGGCUAACUACGUGCCAGCAGCCGCGGUAAUACGUAGGUGGCAAGCGUUGUCCGGAUUUAUUGGGCGUAAAGCGAGCGCAGGCGGUUUCUUAAGUCUGAUGUGAAAGCCCCCGGCUCAACCGGGGAGGGUCAUUGGAAACUGGAGGACUUGAGUGCAGAAGAGGAGAGUGGAACUCCAUGUGUAGCGGUGAAAUGCGUAGAUAUAUGGAAGAACACCAGUGGCGAAAGCGGCUCUC